UCUCUUCAGCUCUCAUUCUCUCUCAUCCGACUCCCCCUCUAUCUUCGGACGCCGCCCCACAGCCUUCGUGUUGCCGCCGUCGCCGGAACUCCGAUCCAACCAAAGUUUCCAUAUUUUCUCCUCUUCAUUCCCUCUACCCAUUUCUCCAACCAAAAUCAUAAAAUUUGGCCAUUCAAUCCUCCAAAAACCCCAGAACCCGAAGCUAAUUUGGAGGUUUUUGAGAUUUCUUCAUUCUAAGUUCAAAUCAAGGUGUCUCCGUGGUCCAUUUCCAAGCAGCAUCUGAUUUGCAAUGCAAGCAAAUAUCACCUUUUGUGGACACGCUCUGUGGCCGCUACCCAUCCAUAAAUUUCCUCAAGGUUGACAUUGAAGAAAGCCCAGCAGUUGCGAACAUUGAAAAUGUGAAGAUUGUACCAACAUUCAAGAUAUACAAAAACGGUAUCAGACAAUUAAAGUACAGCUUUAAAAUAAUAAAAUUUACUUGAGCAUGUAUAUCAUAGAAGAUGCGAGCGACCUAGAAAGUAUGCAAUAUGCACGAGAGCAGAAAAUGUAAAUGGAUAAUCAUGAACUAGAAGAUCUUCGUUCCAUUGUUGCCUGAACUGAAGGUGAUCAGACAAUUACAGCACAGCUUUAAAAUUUACUUAUUUACAAGCACCCCCAGGAUAUGACAUUGAAGCUUCAUUAUGGUAUUCUCUUUUCUACGGGGCAAGAUUACAUCUCUAUUCUCGCUUAUCCUCCUCCAGAACUUCUGCAAGCCCAUUGUUAAAUUCUCGCAUAGCUGCUGUAUCUCCGCUCACCUUCAAAGCACCACUUGUUAAUGAGACGCCCUCCUCAUCAAAGUCGUCUCCUGUCUCCUCUGAGUAUGCAUAUCUGCAAGUUCCAGACCAAAAUAUUAUACUAUCAGGCUGUGGUGCCAAGGCAACAUAAGAAGAGCAAAAGUCCGAUAGCUCCAUGCAUUGAAAAAAACAAUAUCAAUGCACUCAUGAUGCAAAUUUUCCGUUAAAGAUACCACUCAAUGCACAAGAUAAUAGAGAAACAACAGGCCUCUCUUUCUGCUAUUUUAUGAUGACAGCAUCACACUUUACGCCAGUCAAAUCAAACAAUGUAAGCAUCCAUCAAAUACAUCCGUACAUCUCUCUUGAUAAGUACAUAGAUAUUACUAUUAUUAUGUAAACAAGAUCAGGAAAAUGUAAAAUCACAACGUCAAAGAAAAUACCUAGUUGGGUUACUUGAUGGAGCCCAGAGGACACAUAUCACUGCCAAGAGAGCGUAGGCAAGCAGUCCAAAAUGCAGGAAUAACCCAGGCGAUUUGCCAAAACUCACUCAAUGGAUCGGUUGCAUU
Molecule: long non-coding RNA, 1339 nt
Organism: Rosa chinensis
Lineage: Eukaryota; Viridiplantae; Streptophyta; Magnoliopsida; Rosales; Rosaceae
Exons: 5
Source: RefSeq, a predicted model, not a curated record